Cyprinus carpio (common carp) is the source of this 2051-nucleotide long non-coding RNA. The record is from Ensembl. NCBI's taxonomy places the organism in Eukaryota, Metazoa, Chordata, Actinopteri, Cypriniformes, Cyprinidae.
CGUCCUAAUGCAUGCUCAGGGCUCUUUUUCCUGAAAUAACAGUUUUGAUGACCCCAGGGCUGGGGGAGGGCGGGUUAGACAAGAACACUCAAGUUGGGUUAUUUCUGUAUGAAAUAUUGAUCGCCACUGAUGGACCAUUACCAUGUAGAAUAGGAUGGAUUACCACAGAGAAGAGAAUCUAUCUGAGGACUAGCGAUAGAGACGAAGGGAAUUAAAUGGGAGAUCUGACAGGAGAGAAGACACCAUGCUGAUAAAAAUACAGAGAACAAGUGAUUUAAGGAAAAGUAGAGAUGUUAACUCAUGGUAGGGGCCUCUCUCAAACCCUUUCUGCUUUCCUCUCUCUCUUUCCAUUUCUCUCAUUUCAGCUAAAUGCACCUGCUGCUGGGCUAACAGGACUGAAUAAUUGGCAGAUCAGUUAAGGGCCUGUGUAUUUCCCCUACCCUGUGGUUCAGGCACCACAUGGGUGAAUAUUCUCCACCUCCUGGAUCCCCUGCUGCUCUGGACCGGGAUCGAAAUCAAGCCAUUCAUGAUACACAGAGGUUACAGCUGAGGAAAUCCACAGGGAGCCUGAGGCUCAGCGUCUUCCAAUUUUCACUACAUCACCAAGACAAUAAUCAAUUGAGCCAGGAGCAGACACACAGGAAGGCCUCAAUACCACAGCAUGACUCACAUGGAUUGAGACUGAAUGGUGAGGUGAGUCAGGGGUGAGAGAUGAUGGGUGUGUGAGCGGAAAUGGUUUUCUCCAUUCGUUUGAUGCAUAAAUGAAUGGUUAAUUAUUUAUUUAUUUGCUAUAGUGUAAUUCUCUGCCAGGAGGUCUCCAAAUGAAACACCUCAUUGAGUGUUAUGAUACUAAAAUAUACAGUGGGUAUAGAAUAGUAUCACCCCCUUUACAAUAAUCACAUUUUGCUGCCUGAAAUGAAGACGAACACAGUUUUUGUUUUAUCCAGCUUUAUUUACUCAGUGCAACUUAUAACAUCCAAGUGAAAGACAAAACCAAAAUGUCAGGAAAAAACAAACAAACCAAAAAAAAAAAAAAAAAACAAUCACUGAGUUGCAAAAAGUGUCAGUAUUUUGUUGAACCACCUUUUGCUUCAUUUACAUGAGACGCUACUAACUUUGCACAUCUAGACUUCGCAGUAUUUGUCUACUCGUCUUGCUGCUCAAGUUCAGUUCAAUUUGAUGCUGAAGGUUUGUGGACUGCAGUCAUUCCACAGAUUUUCAGUGGGGUUUGAGUCUGGGCUCUGGCCAUGCAAGGACAUUCACCUUUUUCUUCUUCAACCAAAGUGUGAUCAGUUUUGCUGUGUGCUUUUUUUAUUUUGCCCAUAGGUCUUCAACCCUGCUCCUGGGGACCCACUGUCCUGCAAAGUUUAUUUCCAACCUGCUUCAGCACACCUGGCCUGUGACUUUACAAGUGAUCCUUAAAGACGCAAUUGUAUGACGUUAUCGUAUGUCCCAAAGCUUGCCUACUCUUCUACUACACACUCAAAAAUGUGUACUUUUUCUUCACCAAAAAAGUACAUACUUUAAGAGCGUAGUAUAAGUAGGCACAUUGAGACGCAGGGCAGGAAAGCUCAUUUUAUGCUGAGCUGACCACAGCUGAACAUCAUAUGGCUUUGUGUGCCAUUGAGAAGGUGAUUAGCUACACCUAAUUGAGUUUACAAGUCAUUUUUAGGAUGGGGGUGGGGGUUCUGACAUGUUGGUGUUAUAUCUUUCACUUGGAUAUUAUAAGUUGCACUGAGUAAAUACAGCUGGAUAAAACAAAAACUGUGUCCAUAUUCAUUUCAGGCUGCAAAGCAACAAAAUGUGAUUAUUUUAAAGGGGGUGAUUCUUUUCUAUGCCCACUAUAUAAAUACUGUAUUUUCUUUAAUAUAUAGUAAGUCACUAUUUUUUUAAUCAUCUGAAACGUGCUGCAAAACAUUUUCCAAAGCAGUUAUAAAACAUCAAGCACGCCAAACAUGCCAAAAACUGCAUACAUCUGAAUCUGUGAAGAAUGAGCAAAGUAGUCAUAUUUUUCCUUUAAAUAAAUGUAAGCUGUUUGUUUUAUACUUACA